This 73-nucleotide transfer RNA is filed under the name Camelus bactrianus (Bactrian camel). It matches the Rfam family "tRNA". From Rfam's summary of the family: Transfer RNA (tRNA) molecules are approximately 80 nucleotides in length. Their secondary structure includes four short double-helical elements and three loops (D, anti-codon, and T loops). The record is from Rfam by way of RNAcentral. RNAcentral also lists the same sequence under 2 other names. Lineage: Eukaryota; Metazoa; Chordata; Mammalia; Artiodactyla; Camelidae.
GAGGGUAUAGCUCAAGUGGUAGAGCGCAUGCCUAGCAUGCACAAGGUCCUGGGUUCAAUCCCCGGUACCGCCU